Thalassophryne amazonica is the source of this 98-nucleotide long non-coding RNA. RefSeq lists it as uncharacterized. NCBI's taxonomy places the organism in Eukaryota, Metazoa, Chordata, Actinopteri, Batrachoidiformes, Batrachoididae. The transcript has 3 exons. The record is from RefSeq and is a predicted model, not a curated record.
UCCUCCAUGAUAUUAUUAUAUAACGCCUGAAUAGAUACUUGUCAUUUGAUUGGUGGUUUGUAUGUCACGUAACAUGGAUUAUUUGUACCAUUUGCCAU